GAUGAACGCUAGCUACAGGCUUAACACAUGCAAGUCGAGGGGCAGCAUGGUCUUAGCUUGCUAAGGCCGAUGGCGACCGGCGCACGGGUGAGUAACACGUAUCCAACCUGCCGUCUACUCUUGGACAGCCUUCUGAAAGGAAGAUUAAUACAAGAUGGCAUCAUGAGUCCGCAUGUUCACAUGAUUAAAGGUAUUCCGGUAGACGAUGGGGAUGCGUUCCAUUAGAUAGUAGGCGGGGUAACGGCCCACCUAGUCUUCGAUGGAUAGGGGUUCUGAGAGGAAGGUCCCCCACAUUGGAACUGAGACACGGUCCAAACUCCUACGGGAGGCAGCAGUGAGGAAUAUUGGUCAAUGGGCGAGAGCCUGAACCAGCCAAGUAGCGUGAAGGAUGACUGCCCUAUGGGUUGUAAACUUCUUUUAUAAAGGAAUAAAGUCGGGUAUGGAUACCCGUUUGCAUGUACUUUAUGAAUAAGGAUCGGCUAGCUCCGUG
RNAcentral lists this ribosomal RNA (490 nucleotides) under uncultured bacterium. Its description in RNAcentral is "partial 16S ribosomal RNA". It matches the Rfam family "Bacterial small subunit ribosomal RNA", at positions 28 to 507 of the family's 1533-position model. The record is from RNAcentral.